This 293-nucleotide ribosomal RNA is filed under the name uncultured bacterium. RNAcentral's name for it is "partial 16S ribosomal RNA". It matches the Rfam family "Bacterial small subunit ribosomal RNA", at positions 28 to 323 of the family's 1533-position model. The record is from RNAcentral.
GAUAAACGCUGGCGGCGUGCCUAACACAUGCAAGUCGAACGUCCUCUCUCGCAAGAGAGAGGGAGUGGCGGACGGGUGAGUAACACAUGGGUCACCUACCCUUAAGUGAGGAAUACCGGCGAGAAAUCGCCGACAAGACCGCAUAGGCUCUCUCUUUUGCAAGAGAGAGCAAAGCUUCGCAAGAGGCGCUUGAGGAUGGGCCUGUGGCCGAUUAGCUGGUUGGAGGGUAAUGGCUUACCAAGGCGACGAUCGGUAGCUGGUCUGAGAGGACGAUCAGCCACACUGGGAUUGAG